Molecule: microRNA precursor, 89 nt
Filed under: Marmota monax (woodchuck)
Lineage: Eukaryota; Metazoa; Chordata; Mammalia; Rodentia; Sciuridae
Source: RNAcentral
AUCCACAUUACCUUUGGGUCUUGUUAAAAAUGCAAACUCCGAUUCAGGUGAUGGGAUCUGCAUUCUGCAAGCUCACUGGUGAUGCCUGU